AUCAGCUGAAUGCCCCAUCCCUGGAGGCAUUCAAGGCUAAGCUGGAUGUGGCUCUGGGCAGCCUGUUCUGGUUGUUGGCGACUCUGGAUAUAGCAGGGGUUUGAAACUAGAUGAUCAUUAUGGUCCUUCUCAAGCUAGGCCAUUCUACGAUCAAAUUGUUAACAAGAGAAAUGGCAUUCAGAAUUUUACUGUCCUAUUCUACAGCCUCAGGAAAUAUUACACUGUUUCUGCUAUUUUUUAGAGUGAGUUGCUUAGAGCAUCACUUUGUGUUCCUUCACUUUGUCCAGACAUCUGCAAUGAGAUCAAGGUAACAUGCGAGAAUUUCCCAUGCCUUUUUUGUAAUGGCUGAAAUCUCCUCUGCACUACAGGAGACGAUAGGACAACAGAGCAUUUUGAUCGUGGCAGGGUGCAAUCACUUUGCAAGUGUUUGCGUCACAUUUUGAUUAGUAGUGGCUUGCUCCAGAAGAUAUUCUAUCUCAUUUUAUACAUUUCCUUAUUCUUCUCUUAAUUUCUAAAUAGUACAAAUUAUUUUGCAGAAUACCAUACUGUAUGGAAAUUGUUGAGUCACGGCCCAAACCACUGAUUGAUCACCUGAGGCAAGGACUGAGUCAGCCCUGGGAUCACAGGUGAAGGCAAUUCACCUGCGUUAGAAGAAGGGGUGGUGCCUGGCUGCACCUCCCAUUUAAGGGAUGACUGCCAGCGGGGAAGGUUCUCUUUCUGGAGAUUCCUUCUCUGUGGAGUCUUGCUAAUCUAGAUCUUUGGAUGCAGAUGUGCUCAUAAAGCUCUGAAAACUGCACUGGAUUUGGCCUGGUAGAUGAGGUGGUAUCCAAGCAAGAUACAAAUUAUUCCAGAAAAAGAGGACAACCAACGACAGUGGAUAGCAAUAGAUCAAUAGUGACAGAGCUGCUUCUUAUCCCACUGUGGACAGGAAGGGUCUUGAACAAAAGCACCUU
Non-coding RNA from Meleagris gallopavo (turkey), 953 nucleotides. NCBI's taxonomy places the organism in Eukaryota, Metazoa, Chordata, Aves, Galliformes, Phasianidae. The record is from RefSeq and is a predicted model, not a curated record.